RNA transcript from Magnolia sinica, 1884 nucleotides. RefSeq lists it as uncharacterized. Lineage: Eukaryota; Viridiplantae; Streptophyta; Magnoliopsida; Magnoliales; Magnoliaceae. The record is from RefSeq and is a predicted model, not a curated record. The transcript has 7 exons.
UCCCUCUCCCUCUCCCUCCGUCUCUCCUUCUCUCUCUCUCUCUCUCUCUCUCUCUCUCUCUCUCUCUCUGCGCCUGAGUUUAGAGAAGUCGUUGGAUCUAAGACUGUUGUGGGUGAAAGUAAUUAUAGUGGCGAAUCUGUGUUGUUGUUUCCUGUCAGCAAUAGUAGCAGGGAUGCCGGAUCUGAAUGGAAAGGGUGUCUGGUGGUGUGCUCACAAGGGUUCCGAUGGAGAUGGGCUUCAGCAAAGGCGGCGAUGGCUGAAGAAAAUGCAAAGAGCGAGAUUGUGGGCCGCGAAUGGGAUCUCAGAGACGAAAAUGAUGGCGGAUCUGAGUGUUGGUCUAGCAGAGCAGUGUCUGAGACAGGGUUUUGCCGGAUUUGCAGGUGACGGCUGGUGUGGCUGCGGUGGUGAUGUGGAAACGUGGUGGUGCUUGUGAUGAGAAUGAUGGAGAUGAAUGGUGUGGAUCAAAGGCCCCAAAUCGGGCCACGGGGGUGCUCGAGCUGCAGAGUAUGUUAAACAACAUUAUCUUACGCCACACAUGCAUGAAAGUGGUGGUAUGGAUAUAGAGAAUAGCACUUUACCAAGCAUGAUUUUUCUCAAGCAAGGUAGGAGUAGCCGCCACGUGGACCAGACACUCCACUGUCUCUCAAGUUUGAGGUUGAAGCAGCAAGGUGCACCACCUUCUCCAACAUGUAUUUAUGGUCCAAUCCAUGAAUUUUCAGCUUUUUACAACGAUUACAGUCAACGAACCUGCGCCCGGGCUCAAGACAAUUUUUAGCUUCACUGUUCCUGAUCAAAAGUCUGGCAAGGUAUCAGGAUAUUGCAUCUAGGCUCAUAGAUCUCUCCAUUAUCACUUGCAUGCAACUUGCAGAUAAGCUCUGGAAUUGGACUAACAGACUAUAUUUGCAUUUUGCAACUUUCAGGUAUCGAAUCUGUUUAUUUGUGGGAGGGUGAGGUAAGAAUACCAUGCAUACUGAGUUAUAUCAUUAACUGAUAUUUUAUGACCAAUUCAACCGUCAGAUUAAUGCGAAUGAGCCUCAAUGACAUAUCAUAUGUGCAUCAGAAUAGAUUAAUCACAUAUAUGGUAUGCUGUAAAGCUCGUUAAUCUGGCUAUCAAGUUUGUUUUUCCUUCUUUUUUUAUGUUUAACUUCUCUUUUAUAUAGAUUUUUUAUUUUAACAAGCUCUGAUUUUUCAUUGUCUUUAUAUGAAUGAUGAGUUGUUGUGGGGAGCUGCUUAGCUACACAAAGCCACCAAAAACCCAGGUUAUCUGAACUACAUUCAAGCGAAUGGUCAGACACUUGGAGCUGAUGAGACUGACAAUACCUUUGGUUGGGAUAACAAACAUUUGUAUGUGCCAAGAUAAAGUUCAAAAUGUGAAUAUACAACUCAUUUCUAAGGCUACUAAGAAGUCAGUUCUCAGUCACUAUCUGUGUCUAGUGUUGCAGACUCGAGGUAAUAGUGAAGCUGGAAAAGAAGCUAGAGGGAUUUGCAUUUCUCAGACAAACACGUCAUCAUGCUAAACCAUCUUCAUGUCCCUGAAGCUGAGAGAAGUGGAUUGAGUUUCAGAAGCUUUGAUGCUAGUUUUGGGCUUAAUGCAAUCUUCACAAAUGGCCCAGAUACUGACAAGAGCUCUACACCUUUGUCUGAGUCAUCUUAGGUGAUCGAAGAGUCAGCUAAGGAGCCUUCUUCAAGGUUACCGCCAAUCAUUCCACAUAAGAGGUCAAAGGACAAACUCCUUCGAGGGUAGUAAGGUCUAUCAUCGUCGUGACAGAUAACUUUUUUGCUGGUAUUGUGCUUUUAUGAAUGGAUUAAAAUAAAUGAUUGUAUUUGAUUGAUUGAAUGAAUGAUUAUGCACAGGUUUAUGAAUGGAUUAAAUUGAAUGAUUUA